CUGCUUUUCGAUGGAUUAUGGAGCUAUUGUUACCUCGGGUUUAGUCUUCUCAGCAUACUUAGACGAUCUCGGAUACCUACAUAUCUUUUCAUUUCACACUCAGACACUUCACAUUUGAUACUUUCAUGCUUUCUAUUUUACUAGAGCCUGAUCAUUACCUUCUUUUAUCUGACACAUUCCACCGUGACACAUGACCUCACUCCUUUCUCGAUUAGGAGGAGAUGUAGAUCAGUCCUCGAUCACCUUGGUUGUGCUUUUAUACAUCUUUUGGACUUUAGGUUCAACAUCUUCC
RNAcentral lists this long non-coding RNA (292 nucleotides) under Vitis vinifera (wine grape). Its description in RNAcentral is "long non-coding RNA (VVIN_LNC007784)". Lineage: Eukaryota; Viridiplantae; Streptophyta; Magnoliopsida; Vitales; Vitaceae. The record is from RNAcentral.